UAUUAAACGCAAGAAGCAUCAUUCCCCUUCACCACCACCGUCUGGAUUCGAUUUGGAGGGAGCUUCUUCUUGGAUCUACCCUCACCACCACCGUCUGUUUCUUCUACAACUCUUAAGUCCUCUCUCUUUGAAGCAAGAUGGGGUUGAUUUUCUGUCCAUACUUUCUCCAUAUAUAGCCAUCUUCCAUCAGGUGUGAGCUGUUCUUCUCCCAUGUUGGUGCACUAUAGAAUACACAUAUAUAAUUCUAUUCAGUUUAAGAGAGAUAACUCAAUAAUUAUUCUUUUUCAGGUUUUAUUUGCCCAUUUGUGCCACUACUUCUCAUAGCUUGCACUCUCAUCAAUUCUUAAUUACCUGUUCAUCUUGGAUAAGCAUUACUACUUAAUUUGUUGUACUUUUAGUUAACCAAACUCGUUUCUCAAAUGUGUUUUUUUUAUAUCAGGUUGUGUGUGGAAAUUUUGGAAUUAAUGGAAGUAGUUUGGUUUAAUAACUUUGAAUUUUAUUGUUAUUUAAGUUAAUAUUAGAAUAUAUCUAGUGUUCUCUUUUUCUCUGCAUGCCAUGCCUUAAUAGUGACAAACAUAUUUCACUUUCAUUUUAGUAAAUAGUAAGAAUGAUAGGAACUCCAAGUGAACAAAAAUUGGUACUCUUUUUGUGUGAAGUUAAAGAAAAUUUAAUUCAAUUCAAUAACUACAUUUCCAUAAAAUGUUCAUGAUCUUUUUCUUUUCGUAUUUGUUUCUCUGGUUUGUAAAAUUGAAUGUCCAUACUAUAGCAUAAAUUGUCUAAUUGAACCAAUGUGCCAAAAUAUCAGAGAAGAGUAUGGAUAAAACUGUAAAGAUAUAUUCAAUGUAUUUUGCAGAGGCACUUCUAUAUUGAAACUUUGUUAAUGAUUAUAUUGUUACAGUUAGGAUGCUUGUAAUCUUGUAGAACAUGUUCAUUAUUUAGCACUGUUUUUAAGGCUGAAGCACGAAACUUUUAAGGGAAACAAAAAUGUUAAACAUUAUUUAUUUACAUGCUUGACUAUACAUUGCAUUAAUACAGUACAUUAAAAUGUUAUGCUUGCAAGUUGAUGAGCUGAAUAUGCUCACCUUUGAUGUAUGGACAUAAUGCCAUAGCUGUGAAUGAAUUUCAAAGUCAAGUAGAUUUAUGGCUAGUGGUGAGAAAGAAAAACCAUCCUUGCUGGCCAAGAAUGUUAAAGUGUAUUUUCCCAAGUCUUUGGAAAAGAUCGACAUGGUUAUGUGCGCACAUAUGGAAAAGGGGUUUCACCUUCCAAUCUAUGGGGAUCUAACUUCGAAGUUGGAAUACAAAAAUUAAUUGAUGAAGUUCAAAGGAAUGCUCAGGUUGAACUACAAAGCAUGAAAAACAGAAUGCAAGAGGAAAUGAAAAUAAAGCUAAAAGAGCAAGUGAAGGAGCAAGUGGAAACCAAACUAAAAGAGCAACUAGAAGCCAUGAAAGUUGAGCUUCUAAACAACUUCAAAAUCGCUUUUACUCAAAUCCCAAGUUGUGCUCCAGAAAUAAUGGUUUCAAAUUUGAAUAAAGAGGAGGUGGACAUUGAAGAUGAUGGAUAAUGAUGACAACAUCUCUCAUAAAGGUUUAUUUAUUUCAUUUGAGUACAUUAAAGGAAAGGGUCUUCUUCUUCUUCAUAGCUUUAGUGUUGUUAACAUUCUUGAAUAUCAUGCCAUAAGAUGUUCUUAUUAUCCUCUUGAACAUCAUGCCAAAAGUAAUUGUUGCAAUCCAUACAUAGCCACUGCCCAUCAUUCCUAGCUUCUGAGCAAUGGAAAAAUGCUCAAACCAGUUUCAGGAUUAACAUCCCUCCAUCAUUCCUAGCUUCCAUUUUAUCUAAGUAGUGUUGUUCAAGGAAAAGAAAUAGGAAAAAGAGAGCGGAAACCCAAAAUUCAUUUUGACGGGACCGACCUGAAAAAAUUGAAACAAGAGAAAUCUCACAAGUUUGCUAAAUAAUGCACAUACAUUGUUACAUGCAAAUGAGCUGAAGAAGCGGCUUGAAUAAGGUAAUGAUAGUUGGAAGUUCAGCAUCAAAAGAUUCUGAAUGAGGAAGAUGAUGAAGAAUAAGAUUGAAAUUAAAGCUAAUUCACUACCAUAUCUCCAAGAAAUUCUGAACUAUCAAAAUAAAAAUUCAUGCAUUAGUAACAUAUAUAUUACUGAUACAGUUCAAUUUAUGUUGAUGGUUAUUGAGAUCAUAUUUUAUGUUGAUGGUUUCAGUUGAGGUAUAUUCUUUGAUGUAUUUACUUUUAUUUUUA
Molecule: long non-coding RNA, 2252 nt
Organism: Vigna unguiculata (cowpea)
Lineage: Eukaryota; Viridiplantae; Streptophyta; Magnoliopsida; Fabales; Fabaceae
Source: RefSeq, a predicted model, not a curated record